GGCCUUAAAUAUCGGAAGAAAAAAUAAUAUCAUUCACCAGUAGUAUAGUAUUUCAUUCGAAUCAAUUUAAUAAAGAUGCAAAGGACAAAAACAGAAACAUAUCAGCCCAAAAGCUAAUCAGACUGUAGUGGAAAACUAGCAGCCACAAAAGUUCUUAAAAAUAACAUCUAUCAGUAGCAACAAAGAGCAAAAAUAAAUAAGGAAAAGGCCACUGUGCUCGCUUGAAAUAAAAAAUUGUCCGAAAUGUAGUUCCAACCAGCAAUAACAGUUGUUGCAAUGAGAUGAUGAAGGAGAUAUGAAAUAAUAUUUAUAUCAACAAUAUUAAAAGCAAAUAAAGGAAAACAAAAGCAUGACAUUAAUUUUUGGUCAGAUUCGGUGCUUUCCGGCCAGAUCUAACUGGUGGUGCUCGCCGGUCAUCAUCUCCGGCGAGGCAGCCACGGAAAGGGGGAAAGAAAAGGGAGGCGGCGCUGGAGGUGGGUGGUGCUCGCCGGUCAUCACCUCCGACGAGAGGUGACAGAAAUGAAAAGAGGAAGAGAGGAAGAGAGGAAGCGUGGUGGUUGGUUCACCGGCGGCAGUGGAGCGGCGGUGGUGAAGGGGAAGAGGGAGAUGAAAACAAAUCUGAGAGUUGUGUAUAUACGUUUAUGUGUGUAUUAUGAGUGCAGUGUGGGUGUAUUAUUUGUUAAAGAAAAAAUAAAUGGCCCCCUCAUUUUUUUAUAAUAAAAAAGAAAUAUAUUUUUUAAUCCAAAAAAUAAAAAGCUAACUCCCUUUGUCUCCCUACGCAGGAUUAAAACCACGGG
Molecule: long non-coding RNA, 797 nt
Filed under: Capsicum annuum
Lineage: Eukaryota; Viridiplantae; Streptophyta; Magnoliopsida; Solanales; Solanaceae
Description: long non-coding RNA (CANN_LNC011950)
Source: RNAcentral